UCAGACCUGCUUAUCACUUAAAAAGUUAUAAGAUUUGAUUCGAUUGUUAUUGAACAAAUGCUGCGAGAUCGGAGGCAACAAGGGCACCUCGAAAACAUACAGAGCUAAGGGCUCAGAGUUUAACUUAUGAAAUAAAAGUAGAGCUCACAGGUCGGCAUUCUAGCUCGGAAAAAGUAAACCGAAAUAGAGCUCACAGGUCGGUCAGUCCAGUUCGAAAAACGUAACUUAAGAGCUCAGCUGACUAAAGAGAUUCAAAGCUCAACCCAUCGAGUAAAGACAGAGCUCACAGGUCUGUAAGUCCAGCUCGGAAAGAGUAACGCGAAAGCUCAGUUGGCUAAGUAGAUCCGGAGUUCAGAUCAUUGAUCAAAAGCAAAAGCUCACGAAUACGGUCAGUUCAGCUCGGAAAAAACAAAAUUUAGUUGGUUAAGGCUAUGAAGAAAGCAGUAUCAGUACUCCAUCCAC
Molecule: long non-coding RNA, 462 nt
Filed under: Manihot esculenta (cassava)
Lineage: Eukaryota; Viridiplantae; Streptophyta; Magnoliopsida; Malpighiales; Euphorbiaceae
Description: long non-coding RNA (MESC_LNC008561)
Source: RNAcentral